GCUUUCUUGAUGGAAUGGUAUACAUGCUAGACUUAAAAUUUGGUAACAUUAUUGUUGUGGGAGUUCGAGUCUCCUAGAAAGCA
Molecule: transfer RNA, 83 nt
Filed under: Ankistrodesmus falcatus
Lineage: Eukaryota; Viridiplantae; Chlorophyta; Chlorophyceae; Sphaeropleales; Selenastraceae
Description: tRNA-Leu
Rfam family: tRNA
About the family: Transfer RNA (tRNA) molecules are approximately 80 nucleotides in length. Their secondary structure includes four short double-helical elements and three loops (D, anti-codon, and T loops).
Source: RNAcentral